RNAcentral lists this non-coding RNA (63 nucleotides) under Achromobacter veterisilvae. Lineage: Bacteria; Pseudomonadati; Pseudomonadota; Betaproteobacteria; Burkholderiales; Alcaligenaceae. RNAcentral also lists the same sequence under 1 other name. The record is from RNAcentral.
UGGCGAAACCGCCGGAAGGCGGUCUGUCAGAUGUGGUGGUCUGGCACUGAUGAGCAGCCAAAG